UUGCAAUAUACCUGAGGCUGUCUCAUGCAGAAGCUCUUAGGCUAUCAAAAUGCUGAGAAAGCUUUCCAGGCUGCAAGAAUUGAGUGCAGUAUUCAUUUAUUAACUAUGAACUAUGGACCUAACCUUUGCCAGGUGCUGAGUUAAAUUCUCACCCACGUGGAACUCGAAUCCAGUAAAUCUAAGGAAUAAUUAUGUAAAGUGUGGUUUAUGCUUCUUGUGGGUGAGGCAUCAUGUCUUAACACUCAGUUUUGGAACGAUCCUUAGGGAGACGGCUGUAGGAGAAGGUAAGAAUAAUAAUCCUGAAGUUCGAAAACCAGACCCAAUUCAUCGUGAUGAUGGGAUCGACUCUGGAACUCUCCCAGGAUGGGACAGCUAAGUUCACAUGCCAUACCAUGUGUGACCACAGUCACCUCCUGACGUGUUAUCACAUUUCAGGGCCUAUACUCUGGCCCACAGGGUAAGUGUGGAUAAUGACGUGUAUUCAUGUAUAUUUUCCUGACUGCUGUUUUGGCCAUUGUUUAUAUACAUGCUGCAUGGGGGAAAUAUGCCUGACAAGAAAGUCAACUAAACACUGUUAAUAUUAAUAAUGACCUUCAGGCUUGAAGCCUGAUAUCCAAUGGGAGAUAUGAGUUGUGAAGGGUUAACCAAGUGAGUUUUCAAGAGGGACAGUCUCCUCUAAUGUGUUCUUAGGUAAGUAGAGUGGUCUUCCCACAAACUCCCGACGCAUGCAAAUCUAGCAUUCUUUGCCAGCCUUGAACAACAGCCACUCUAAGAGGAUUACAUCCCAUUGCACGCUUGUGCGGGGGAGAAGUCACAGUUGCAUGGGUUGGCCUGCAGCCAUUUUCUGGGUUGAGUCCUAUGAUUGACAUGAACAAAUAGUUCCUCUAAUGGCAACACAAUUAGGUACCAUGGCUGCUGUGUGUGGGACACGCGGCCCAGAGUCUGACGGAGGUGUUCAGGAGGCUGGGACUGGUGAGGCUGCUUUUGCAAGGUGUUCCUCCUUGGCUCCUGUUAAACCUCUUCUUUACAGUCUGUCAGGAAGAUAAGCUUGAUAUUGAGAAAGACUUCACUGAGUCCCACUCAAGCAACGAGGUGGUAAUUUAACACUCUGGCAACCAGCUUUGGACUCCUUAACUGAAGGAUGUUUGGUAAAUCUCAAGAGACGGAAAGAAGCCCAGAAUACUCUCAAAGUCAGUCUGUAACUGAACUCUGCUUGUAGCAAAUCUAGAAGAAAGAACCAAGUUGCUAAAUUGGUUUUCUCCUGCCAAACACUCCUCAGGCAUUCAAGAUAGAAAAGUAAAAACAGGAGUGAGGGCCUGUGGAAGGCUUAAGAGUUGGUCCUAGGGGGAUGUCAGGGUAUUGCUUAAAAGGAUUUUGUUGCAAUUUUCCACUAUUGUUUUAUUUUUCUUCUAAAGGCAGAUCCAACAUUUGAAUCCCUUCUUGGUCAUGCAAGACACCCAUUCUUCCUGUGGAAUCUUGCUCAUGGUCAAAGGGGAAACGAAUGAUCACCAGGUGACUUUCCUUUAGAGUUUACCUUUAUCUUCUGCAUGUUUGACCUCUGACAACUACCUUUCCUAAUUUAAUAAACAUACAGAAUUACUUUGUCUAAGAAUGACCUUGGGGUCAGAGUUUGUUUUCUUUAAUAAGAUUACAAAACUUCUGGACUAGGGCUGUAGCUCAGUGGUAGAGCACUUGCCUUGCAUGUGUGAGGCACUGGGUUUGAUCCUCAGCACCACAUAAAAAUAAAAUAAAGAUAUUAUGUCCAUCUAUAACUAAAAAAAAAAUUUUAAUUACAAAACUUCUUAAAGUUGAGAGAGAAUUUCCUUCAUGUGAUAAAAAGUUCCUGAAAGGUGUUCAAUUUUUUAAUGCAAUGACUUGAGCAUAAUAUUUUCAUCUUUAUUAAAGUACUAGUGUAUAAUUUUAACUAUUCUUCAUUUGACAGUUGAUAGCCAUAGGAAAUAUUAGAGUAUGUGCUAGUCUCAGUUCCCCUUAAAGAUGGGAGAAUUUAUUUUAAAAUAUUCUGGUAUUAUUUUUAAAUUUUGUUUUACCCCAGAUAUCCAAAUAUAGCUGUAUAUUUUAAAUUAUAUACAAAAGGGCAAUAUCAAAACAGCUCCUCAAAUUUGUUUUAUUAGAAUGGCAUAUGAAUUCCAAAUAUAUGUAUAAAAGCCACACUUGCAAUAACAGCUGAUUUAGAGGUGAUUUUUUAAAAAAUGUGUGUGGUAUAGUAGAAUUCUUUGCUUUAUAAAAUAGCUUUCUACAGAGUUGAUUUAAGUAGCAUUCCCACCCAUUUUGUUUAACAGAGGAUUACGAAUACAAAAAAUUCCUAAGGACUUUGACGCACAUUUAGCUUCUUAAGGACAUUUCUAUGGAGUGAAGUAAGGCAUUUUUAUGGUUGUCUUCCAUUCACUUGUUUAUUUUUAAGGUAUUCUUUAUGUGCUGGAGUUUGGACCUAAUGCUAAGCAUGCUAUUAUAAGCACACUACCUUGUUCUUUGAGAUUUGGGGGAAAAGAUGAAAUGUUGGCUGAAUUCACUGUUUAGCAGGCUAAGGAUAAGGUAAAUGAUGCCCAGUUUGGGGGAGCGCAUGGGGUGGCAUCUAAAUCAAACUGGGGAGAAGCAUAGGCUUCUUAAAAGCAUUGGGAGAUUCAUUUUGAAGGAUGAGCAUCAGUUAACAGUUGAAAAAGGAGAAAGAAAAUUCUAGUUGUAGAGAACAGCAUGUAGAAACCCUCCUUGGGAUGUGACACAUCAAAGGCUGUGUGCAGUGGCCCAUGUCUGUUAUCUCAGCUACUUGGGAGGCUGAGGCAGGAGGAUUGCGAAGUUCAAGGUUAGCCUCAGCAACUUAGUGAGACCCUGUCUCAAAAUUUUAAAACAAAACAAACAAACAACAACAACAACAACAACAACAAAAAACUUAAAAAAAGAUUGGGAGUGUAGCUCAGUGUUAGAGCAUCCCUGGCAGCCCCCAAUACCAAAAUAAACAAACAAACAAAAAAAACCAAAAAACAUCAUGACAUCAAGACACACUUUUGGGGACCUUCAUGUAUGAUUGAGAAGGUGAACUUGGAAAAGUGAUGGAAGAUAAUCUCUCUUGGUUUAAUACCUAUUGACUGGUUAUGCUUUCUCCAUUUCCUUAGCCAUUUCCUAUUUUUUUACCUAAAUUCUUUAGAGUUUACAAAGACUGUGUCAUUGAGCUUCUCCUCUGUCUGUUCUCAUGCCACAGUGAUUUCAUUCAGUCUUUUGACUUUGCACCUGUAAGGACCCAGCAUUCCUCCCCUCUGGAGGGUCGGCAACAAGGCACCACUUUGGAAGAAGAAAGCAACUCUCACCAGACAAUUGAAACUCGCAGUGCUCUGAUCUUGGAUUUCCCAGCCUCCAUAUCCAUGAGAAAAUAAAUUUGUUUUAUAAAUUACCCAGUCUCAGGUGUUUUGGUAUAG
This 3431-nucleotide long non-coding RNA is filed under the name Marmota monax (woodchuck). The stretch from base 1667 to 1738 matches the Rfam family "tRNA". Lineage: Eukaryota; Metazoa; Chordata; Mammalia; Rodentia; Sciuridae. The record is from RNAcentral.